UAGAGUUUGAUCAUGGCUCAGGCUUGGAUCAUCCUCCUUAGNAGUUUGAUCCUGGCUCAGGUUGGAACACCUCCUUAGAGUUUGAUCAUGGCUCAGAUUGAACGCUGGCGGCAGGCUUAACACAUGCAAGUCGAGCGGAGAGAGGUAGCUUGCUACUGAUCUUAGCGGCGGACGGGUGAGUAAUGCUUAGGAAUCUGCCUAUUAGUGGGGGACAACAUUUCGAAAGGAAUGCUAAUACCGCAUACGUCCUACGGGAGAAAGCAGGGGAUCUUCGGACCUUGCGCUAAUAGAUGAGCCUAAGUCGGAUUAGCUAGUUGGUGGGGUAAAGGCCUACCAAGGCGACGAUCUGUAGCGGGUCUGAGAGGAUGAUCCGCCACACUGGGACUGAGACACGGCCCAGACUCCUACGGGAGGCAGCAGUGGGGAAUAUUGGACAAUGGGCGCAAGCCUGAUCCAGCCAUGCCGCGUGUGUGAAGAAGGCCUUAUGGUUGUAAAGCACUUUAAGCGAGGAGGAGGCUACUUUUAGAUAAUACCUAGAGAUAAGUGGGGACCGGUAAACUCCGGCAGAAAUAAAAGCAACCGGCGUAAACCUCUUGUUGCCACAGCAGACCGGCGGGGAAANAACCAGAAGGGGUGCCACAAGCGGUUAAACCGGAAUAUAACCGGGNCGGUAAAAGACGGCCGCGUNAAGGCGGNAAAUAAGGCCCACAGGUGGGAUUCUCCCCCGGAGCCUUUAACCUUGGGGGAAUUGGCGUUUCCGGCUACUGGGGUUUGCCUACUUNUGGGAACGGUNGGUUGGANUUCCCGGUUUCGGGAAUGGUUUCGCUAUCUNCGGCAGNAUCCCUCUGUUCGACGGGUUNGUGUCUGUANUCGUNGGUCUGUGGGUGAUCAUANUGGGGGUACGGANAUACCUNGUUUUCGCCGNGCGUUUAGCNUGGNCGGNGGUU
Molecule: ribosomal RNA, 947 nt
Filed under: uncultured bacterium
Lineage: Bacteria
Description: partial 16S ribosomal RNA
Rfam family: Bacterial small subunit ribosomal RNA (bases 78-591)
Source: RNAcentral